This 253-nucleotide ribosomal RNA is filed under the name uncultured bacterium. RNAcentral's name for it is "partial 16S ribosomal RNA". It matches the Rfam family "Bacterial small subunit ribosomal RNA", at positions 524 to 776 of the family's 1533-position model. The record is from RNAcentral.
UACGAAGGGUGCAAGCGUUGCUCGGAAUUAUUGGGCGUAAAGGGUAGGUAGGUGGUCUUGUUUGUCUGGGGUGAAAUCCUUGGGCUUAACCUAAGAAGUGCCUCAGAAACGGCAAGACUAGAGUACUGGAGAGGGUCGUGGAAUUCCCGGUGUAGCGGUGAAAUGCGUAGAGAUCGGGAGGAACACCAGAGGCGAAGGCGGCGACCUGGACAGUAACUGACACUAAACUACGAAAGCGUGGGGAGCAAACAGG